This 200-nucleotide ribosomal RNA is filed under the name uncultured bacterium. Its description in RNAcentral is "partial 16S ribosomal RNA". It matches the Rfam family "Bacterial small subunit ribosomal RNA", at positions 328 to 538 of the family's 1533-position model. The record is from RNAcentral.
ACGCUCGACACCUACGGGGGCAGCAGUGGGGAAUAUUGCACAAUGGGGGAAACCCUGAUGCAGCGACGCCGCGUGAGCGAAGAAGUAUUUCGGUAUGUAAAGCUCUAUCAGCAGGGAAGAAAAUGACGGUACCUGACUAAGAAGCCCCGGCUAACUACGUGCCAGUAGCCGCGGUAAUCUGAGGCGGGCGUGGCGAAGGC